CGUAGGGUGCGAGCGUUAAUCGGAAUUACUGGGCGUAAAGCGUGCGCAGGCGGUUUUGUAAGCCAGAUGUGAAAUCCCCGGGCUUAACCUGGGAAUGGCAUUUGGGACUGCAAGGCUGGAGUGCGGCAGAGGAGACUGGAAUUCCUGGUGUAGCAGUGAAAUGCGUAGAUAUCAGGAGGAACACCGAUGGCGAAGGCAGGUCUCUGGGCUGACACUGACGCUCAUGCACGAAAGCGUGGGGAGCAAACAGGAUUAGAUACCCUGGUAGUCCACGCCCUAAACGAUGUCGACUGGUUGUUGGGGGUUUGACACUCUCAGUAACGAAGCUAACGCGUGGAGUCGACCGCCUGGGGAGUACGGCCGCAAGGUUA
This 371-nucleotide ribosomal RNA is filed under the name uncultured organism. RNAcentral's name for it is "bacterial SSU rRNA". It matches the Rfam family "Bacterial small subunit ribosomal RNA", at positions 526 to 896 of the family's 1533-position model. The record is from RNAcentral.